Oreochromis aureus is the source of this 1136-nucleotide long non-coding RNA. The record is from Ensembl. NCBI's taxonomy places the organism in Eukaryota, Metazoa, Chordata, Actinopteri, Cichliformes, Cichlidae.
CAUGAUAAUUUGGGCGUGUGUUUUUUGUACCAGCAGACUUGCCGUAGUACCUCAGCAGUGAAAAACAGUCCUUUAGCCAAACUGUUGUCUGUUCCACUUUUUGUUCACUUUUUCUUGCUGAGCCUGAGAGAGCACAUGCCUUUUUACAGUGCUUCAACAGUAAACAUCUAAAACGUAUCCGCUGACUCCUGGAUGUUUAUUGUGGACCUGUUAGCUAUCUGCCAAGCUAGAAACCAGCUUCACACCCUAGUGAGGGCAGAAUAGUAAAAAGGCAUCGUCCCAACACGGCUACCUACAGAAAAGUGGAUCUGCGUGGAAACACAGUUUCUUCUGUUUCUUCUAAGCUACAAUGGAUAGUAACGACGACACGCUUGAGACGCGGUCAAUAUGCUCCAACACCUCACGUGCCAGUCAGCGCUCUUCAGCCAGUGCCAUUGCAGCCAGGGCACGGGCAAAAGCAGAGGCUGCACGUGCUCAAGCACUAUUUGCACAAAAAGAGGCAGAUAUGUUAAAAGCACAAGCAUAUAUUGAGGAGGAACAACAAAAAGCAGCAGCUGAGGCUGCCAGGAAGAAAGCAGAGCUGCAAGCCAGUUUGCAUACCUUGAGACUUGAGAGCGCAGCUGCAGCUGCCAUUGCUGAAGCGAAUGUUCUUGAAGCAGCUGUUGAGAACGAAUUUGGGGAGUUAGAUCGAGUUAGCCUGAAAAAUGAAUACGUUGAGCAUAAUCCAAGUCCUGAACCUCACCAAGUCUCAGAGCUACCAGAACUCAUGCCAACUCUGAUGCACCAACUACCAGUCGACAGUGAUGAGAUCAGCAAAUAUGACUUGCCUGUUCAGAGAACAUCCAAAUUGAGUCAAGAUGCCACUCCCUAUUACCCUCGUACUCAAAGCCCCUGCAGGACAGGCCCAUUCAAGCAAGAACAUUCACACAGCUUAAAUCCAUCCAAGGAUACGUACAGACACCAGACACAGUCACAUGAUAUGAGACAAUACAGCAGUAGCUACCAACCGCCUCAGCCUCAUACAGGUGCUGCCAGAACUGACGAGCCCACUUUAUCAUCAACCACAGACCUGGCCAAGUAUCUAAUACGGCGAGAGAUGAUAAGCUCUGGGCUGUUAAGGUUCGACGAUCAGCCAG